This is a long non-coding RNA of Bombus impatiens (common eastern bumble bee), 1302 nucleotides long. RefSeq lists it as uncharacterized. The transcript has 2 exons. The record is from RefSeq and is a predicted model, not a curated record. NCBI's taxonomy places the organism in Eukaryota, Metazoa, Arthropoda, Insecta, Hymenoptera, Apidae.
ACAUCGUGCUGGAUGGCUAUAGUACAUUGUGUCUUCAUCAAUUUCGCACGUUUUCUCACUCAACAAAACUGGUUCAAACCGUUUCAGACCGUGUAGUGUUGAUGCAGUCUCUAUUUACGUUCAGUUUUAUGUUUCAGUUUCUGUCCUCUUAAUCAUUUAAUUAUUGUUUAUGUAAAGAAGAAGAGUGUCCGAAAGCUGCUAUUGUAACCUUCCUGUGAUCCCGUGGAUAUCGCGCUGGGCGGAAACGAAUAUCUUUUUGUGGGCCACGCGUGUUUGGUAAGCUGAUCUAUCGGGUGUUCCAUGAAGCACGGAUAUGGGCCGCUGUUCUAUCUCCUGGAUCAACUGAUUUUCAUCUCUAACACCUCCAGUUACGUCUCAAUACAUGUAAUUCAACUUCCUUAAUUGUAUCUGAUAUUUAGAUCGCAUAGUUCAUUACAAUUUAACAGAUUUUAAGUAUUGUCAAUUUUUAAAAGAAUCAUAGAUAUCUAUCUAUUGAUAAUCCAAGCUAUUAUAUGUAGUAAAAGCUACAGAUUCAAAUUCAGCAAUUUAGGAUUUCAAAGGUAAUAUUAAACUUCUCUUCAGUUUCACAAUACUUAGAAUUGAAUGGUAAUCUAACAGCGGCGAUUAAAAUAGAAAUUCAAAGGCUCUCAAUGAAGUUAUUGUUCGAUAUGGUUCCGGAUGUCACAGCUGUCUCACAUACAGUAAUUAUAACGUGAAUGCAAAUGGACUUUCCAGACAGGUCAAGGCUUGGCUCAACUGGCUACGUUACUUCUAAUAUUCCUUUUUGGCUCCUUUUAUUUCCAACCGAUUACGUGUGACUUGAAUUAACUUGACACAGUUCAUGCAACUUAGAAACGAUCGUUCAAAAUAAAAAUUAAAUAUUGGCAGUACAUAAUAUGUACGUACAUUCUCAGUUGCGCUGAAAAGUGAUCUCAAGCGUAUAGCACGGUGCAUCGACGCUAGCUUGUUGAUUCACUCGAGAAAAAUCAACUACAUACAGCGUAACGUGUAUGAGUCAUCCUGGGUCACAACAAUAAUACUACUCGGAAAGAUUCUCGUUCCGCUCUGCCAGGGAAUCUUCAAAGCGUUUCCGACUGAGAAUUCAGUUGUUAGACCAGGUUCCGUAUUCUGGUUUCAUUUUCUUCAAAUAAUUUUUUUCAUUUUUACGACCCCUAUUGUAAACUUCCAAGUGUAUUGCGAUGCAAAUUCUUCGUCAAAUCAUAUUUCUAAUUAGCACGAUUUAAUAUACAGAUCUAAAAAUUAAUAAUAAUAAGAAAAUAAGAUAAUUCGGAAGUUGUGUUU